GUGCCCUCAAGAGUUCCCUUGAACACUUCAAUGGACACACCAAUUAUAUAGGCCCUAUCCAGGGGUGGCUUUUGUCUGCUGAAGUGUUUGGGGGAACUUUAGGUGGUGC
Spinacia oleracea (spinach) is the source of this 109-nucleotide non-coding RNA. Lineage: Eukaryota; Viridiplantae; Streptophyta; Magnoliopsida; Caryophyllales; Amaranthaceae. The record is from Rfam.